Molecule: ribosomal RNA, 761 nt
Filed under: uncultured bacterium
Lineage: Bacteria
Description: bacterial SSU rRNA
Rfam family: Bacterial small subunit ribosomal RNA
Source: RNAcentral
AACAGGAUUAGAUACCCUGGUAGUCCACGCUGUAAACGAUGUCGAUUUGGAGGUUGUGCCCUUGAGGCGUGGCUUCCGGAGCUAACGCGUUAAAUCGACCGCCUGGGGAGUACGGCCGCAAGGUUAAAACUCAAAUGAAUUGACGGGGGCCCGCACAAGCGGUGGAGCAUGUGGUUUAAUUCGAUGCAACGCGAAGAACCUUACCUACUCUUGACAUCCAGAGAACUUUCCAGAGAUGGAUUGGUGCCUUCGGGAACUCUGAGACAGGUGCUGCAUGGCUGUCGUCAGCUCGUGUUGUGAAAUGUUGGGUUAAGUCCCGCAACGAGCGCAACCCUUAUCCUUUGUUGCCAGCGGUUCGGCCGGGAACUCAAAGGAGAUUGCCAGUGAUAAACUGGAGGAAGGUGGGGAUGACGUCAAGUCAUCAUGGCCCUUACGAGUAGGGCUACACACGUGCUACAAUGGCGUAUACAAAGAGAAGCGACCUCGCGAGAGCAAGCGGACCUCAUAAAGUACGUCGUAGUCCGGAUUGGAGUCUGCAACUCGACUCCAUGAAGUCGGAAUCGCUAGUAAUCGUAGAUCAGAAUGCUACGGUGAAUACGUUCCCGGGCCUUGUACACACCGCCCGUCACACCAUGGGAGUGGGUUGCAAAAGAAGUAGGUAGCUUAACCUUCGGGAGGGCGCUUACCACUUUGUGAUUCAUGACUGGGGUGAAGUCGUAACAAGGUAACCGUAGGGGAACCUGCGGCUGGAUCACCUCCUU